RNAcentral lists this ribosomal RNA (454 nucleotides) under uncultured bacterium. Its description in RNAcentral is "bacterial SSU rRNA". It matches the Rfam family "Bacterial small subunit ribosomal RNA", at positions 364 to 832 of the family's 1533-position model. The record is from RNAcentral.
UUCGCAAUGCCCGAAAGGGUGAACGAGCGACGCCGCGUGCGGGAUGAAGGGUUUCGGCUUGUAAACCGCUUUCGCAAUGCCCGAAAGGGUCUGACCUAUCCCUGGAGGAAGCACGGGCUAAGUUCGUGCCAGCAGCCGCGGUAAGACGAACCGUGCGAACGUUAUUCGGAAUCAUUGGGCUUAAAGGGCGCGUAGGCGGAGCGACGCGUCGGCGUUGAAAGCCCCCGGCUCAACCGGGGAACCGGCGCCGAAACGGCCGCGUCUCGAGGCGAGAAGAGGGACCUGGAACUUCCGGUGGAGCGGUGAAAUGCGUUGAGAUCGGACGGAACACCAGCGGCGAAAGCGAGGUCCUGGGCUCGUACUGACGCUGAGGCGCGAAAGCCAGGGGAGCGAACGGGAUUAGAUACCCCGGUAGUCCUGGCCGUAAGCGAUGGGCACUAAGUAGAGGGGUUUU